Molecule: ribosomal RNA, 291 nt
Filed under: Triticum aestivum (bread wheat)
Lineage: Eukaryota; Viridiplantae; Streptophyta; Magnoliopsida; Poales; Poaceae
Description: partial small subunit ribosomal RNA
Source: RNAcentral
AUGGGAUGCAAUCAUCUUGUUGUUAACACUAACAAUAUUAAAGUGAUUGACACAAUGGAGAAUGGAGGACAUUCAGCAGGAGCGGCGGAAGUCCUAUUCGAUGAUUGUUAUGUUAUGGCGUGUGAUUUUCCUCUUAUUGUCUUUGAACAUUGUAAUAGGAAAGUAAAUAAGGUUGCUCAUGAACUUGCUAGGUUAGCUAAAUUCUCUAUGACAAAGGAUUGGUUUGAGAAACCAAUGAAUGAUACUGUGCCUUUUCUUAUUAACAAUGUAAUCAUUAUCUCGAGUAAAUAA